Molecule: transfer RNA, 64 nt
Filed under: Rattus norvegicus (Norway rat)
Lineage: Eukaryota; Metazoa; Chordata; Mammalia; Rodentia; Muridae
Rfam family: tRNA
About the family: Transfer RNA (tRNA) molecules are approximately 80 nucleotides in length. Their secondary structure includes four short double-helical elements and three loops (D, anti-codon, and T loops). Further hydrogen bonds mediate the characteristic L-shaped molecular structure. tRNAs have two regions of fundamental functional importance: the anti-codon, which is responsible for specific mRNA codon recognition, and the 3' end, to which the tRNAs corresponding amino acid is attached (by aminoacyl-tRNA synthetases). tRNAs cope with the degeneracy of the genetic code in two manners: having more than one tRNA (with a specific anti-codon) for a particular amino acid; and 'wobble' base-pairing, i.e. permitting non-standard base-pairing at the 3rd anti-codon position.
Source: Rfam by way of RNAcentral
AUGUAGUUCAGUGGGUAGAGUUCGUGCUUGGCAUGCAUGAGGCUCUAGGUUCAAUUCCCAGCAU